RNAcentral lists this ribosomal RNA (492 nucleotides) under uncultured bacterium. RNAcentral describes it as "partial 16S ribosomal RNA". It matches the Rfam family "Bacterial small subunit ribosomal RNA", at positions 29 to 507 of the family's 1533-position model. The record is from RNAcentral.
AGUGAACGCUGGCGGUAGGCCUAACACAUGCAAGUCGAACGGCAGCACAGUAAGAGCUUGCUCUUACGGGUGGCGAGUGGCGGACGGGUGAGGAAUACAUCGGAAUCUACUUUUUCGUGGGGGAUAACGUAGGGAAACUUACGCUAAUACCGCAUACGACCUACGGGUGAAAGCAGGGGAUCUUCGGACCUUGCGCGAUUGAAUGAGCCGAUGUCGGAUUAGCUAGUUGGCGGGGUAAAGGCCCACCAAGGCGACGAUCCGUAGCCGGUCUGAGAGGAUGAUCGGCCACACUGGAACUGAGACACGGUCCAGACUCCUACGGGAGGCAGCAGUGGGGAAUAUUGGACAAUGGGCGAAAGCCUGAUCCAGCCAUACCGCGUGGGUGAAGAAGGCCUUCGGGUUGUAAAGCCCUUUUGUUGGGAAAGAAAAGCAGCAGGUUAAUACCCCGCUGUUCUGACGGUACCCAAAGAAUAAGCACCGGCUAACUUCGUG